Molecule: long non-coding RNA, 1121 nt
Organism: Drosophila pseudoobscura
Lineage: Eukaryota; Metazoa; Arthropoda; Insecta; Diptera; Drosophilidae
Exons: 2
Source: RefSeq, a predicted model, not a curated record
GAAGUCGAAGCCGAGCCCGAACCCGAAGCCAUCCGAAGCUCAUACAACAUUUGGGGCCAAAGGACGAACUGUGGCGCCGGAUAACGGAACCCAAAGCACCGGAACACUUCGAGGCGAAGCACGCGGCGCACGGAACGGCACGGCAGCCUAACGGUAAACAUUGAAUCGGCGGUGUUAUCAUCCUUCAUCCUCGUCGUCCGGUUACUGUUUAUUUUUUUUUGUUUUUUUGGCGUGCUUUUAGUUCGUUAUUCCGCUGACCGCUUAUCGUUAACUGUUAACUGUUAAACGUUUACCGCUAUCCGCGGACCGGAACGUUUACCGCGAGCUGGACUGCACCGUGAUACCGUUACGUUACGCGCCUUUGAAAAGCCAGCCACACAAAGAAGGGCCAUGAAUGGAGCAGAACAAAGAGUGCUGGCCAUUAAGUAACGCCACAAUCCCCGAAUCCUUCCUCCUCUGAUAACGGGCCGCAUAAAUUACGGUGAAAAGCAGAAAGCUGAUUGAAAACUUUUCGCAUUUCCCGAUAUUUUUUUGAAGGCAAUCUUGUUGUUGCCAUUUUUGUGAAUUUUUUUUUUGUUAAUGUGCCAAACCAAAGAAAAAAGUUAAUCAAAACUAAAAAAUACAAAAUAAAUCGGAAAUUUGUGCGAUAAGCCAAGCCCCCCUCCAGCCGCGCUCUCUUUUGAACGGAAGCUAACGGGAAGCUGAUAAACAGUUUGGCGCUCAAAAGAGUGGAAGGAGUGCUUCAAGAGUGGAAAUCAGCAAAAGCCGGCAUCAUCAGCAGCAGCAGCAGCAACGGAAGCUCUCAAAAGAGAGCAAGAGGCCAAAAGCCGGCAGAGACGCGCUCAAAGAGAGGCCGAAGGAGCAGCAGUAAGAACCGUUUAAUGAACAGAAGGAGUCUUGUGUAGCGGUCAAACCAGAGCCAGUAGCAAAAGCAAAAGCAAAAGCACGAGCAGAUCCAAGAGAGAACGAAUAAGAAGCAUCGAGCCGAAAGCCGGCAGCAGCAGGCGGCGCGCUCGAAAGAGAGGAACACGGCAGCGCUCAAAAGAGAGGCCAAACAGACGAGGAUAAGCCUGGCCGAUUGAGCUCUAUUCGGCUCCGCUUUGAGGUGAGUUUUGAGUGAG